Molecule: long non-coding RNA, 3427 nt
Filed under: Androctonus crassicauda
Lineage: Eukaryota; Metazoa; Arthropoda; Arachnida; Scorpiones; Buthidae
Source: RNAcentral
UAUAAGAUUGAUAAUUAACAGUCUCUGUACUAUAUAUAGGAUAGGUAAUUAAUUAUCCUUGAAAAUUUAGCAAACGAUUAACAAUUAUAUAUCUCUUGACACCAUUAAAAUCUGAUUUUUAUCCGAGGAUCGAGUUAUAUUGGAUGGACUAUAUAUAUAUUACGAUGAAAACAUUACAUAUAUAUAUGUUUUCAUCGUCGGGGGUUGGACGCAAAUUUCGUAGGAUCGUUUCUGUGAGUGCAGACUCCAUGUUUUAAAAGCUCAGAGAACGCACUUCUAGCUGGCCUUAUUUUUUCCUUGUCUUAUCAAAAUCUAGUUUUAACAUUGCAAUGAAUAAAUGCAAUUGCCGUCUUUAUAUCAUCCUUGCAGGUGUUUAGAAUAAAAUAAAAAAAGAAAAGAAAAACCUAACUUCACGUUUUUCUGUGGAGAUGGAGAGUUUUUUGACGCGUUGGCGCCUUAUUUAGUUUGUCUUUAAUAUAAUACGAUGAUAUGUUUUUAAUUAGUUAUUAAAAAAACGUGGCAUUCUAUGGGAUUUAGAAAUUUUGACUAAAAAUUUAUCUUGUGGAUAUUAAUACUGAGCCAUCCAUGAGUACCAAAAUAGGCAUGUAUGUGUGAUCGUGCAUAUUCGAGUUCCAGGUUCUAUAUUAUUUUUCCUGUUAAAUUAUUUUAACGACAGACUAAAAAUUUCUUGGCCACGUAUUGAUAUCUUCGUUUUAUAUAUUCUUCGAAGGAAUGAUUCCAAGAUUUCGGUUAUAACAUUUUUUUAUUGAAAAUACGGAUUUAUUAAGUUUUUGAAUCGUUGUUAUCGAAGUAUAGUAAUUAAAAUUACACUGGAAUAGCUGUCUUUACUAACAACUUUUACUAAUAAUAAAAUUUUCUUAUUUCCGAUCGGUUUCGCUUCAUAACAGAUUGUGGUUAUCGUGCCGGAGGAAAAUGCGUCGAUGUUGGUGGUGAUGAUGAUAAUAAUAAUGGAAUUUUUUUUAAUAGACUGAAAAAAUUAUCUAUUUAUGUGGAUUUUUAUUCCUCAGGUAUGAUGGGAAGUUAUCCACAGGAAGCGUCUGGGUUCGGACCUUCUCGAGGUUACAGCGGAGGCAUGGAUGGAAUCGCUGGCAGUCAGGGUGAGUCAACGACUUCCGUUCCACCUGCUUUCUGACCAAACGACGGAGGCUGUUCCAACCGGGCAGUCCUCGACGGACCGCGUCUCGUGCACACUUUGUUAUGAAGGAAACGGACGGUAACGGUUUCAUUUUCAUCGGUCACUAACCCCAUCACUUAUAAUAUUAUCUAUUUCUGUUAAACUCGGACCAAUCUCGGAUGUAUGAGGAUCAAAACGCGAGAUGCCCCAACAUGUGAUAAGCUUCAUAAACUAUCGGGAGAAAUGAUUGCUCCUCUUUUCAAAUCCUUUUUGGCCCGCACGGUAUUGUUUGAUUUGUCAUCGGGAAGGUCCGGUUUGAUCCUCGAUCUGAUUUUUCCCCUAUCGAAUCAGUUUUUCGCCGGACAGUGUUUAUUUAACCAGAAUAAUCAUUGUUUUCCUCUGAUUUUUUAAAAUCUCUCUGGGGUUUUGUUAUUUUCUGGGAAAUUUACGGGCUAGAUAACUUACUAUUCUUAAUAAUUACCCUUUGAUUUUUUCUCAAAACAAAUUUUGUUAAGGUUUUUAUUUAUUAAAUUUUAUUUAGUAUUUAUUUCGACCAACUCUUUCGAGUAAAUUAGGCGACACGAUAUUUAAUUAAGCCUUUCAUCAUAAAAUAACGAUGAAUAUAAUAACGUGUCAUCGACUUUGCUAAAAUUUAACACUUAUUCGAAUCGUUAACGUUGUUUCCUUACAUAAUAAAGCGUGGUUGUGUAAAUUCUAGCAUUAUCUUAGAAAGAAAAUAUUACUUGACCAAAUUAGUCGGAGUAAUGGUGAGUGGAAAAAAGUUUAUAAAUUGAUUGGAUGCAGAUCUACCAGAAAUGGGUAAUUUGUAUCGUUUAUGAAUUUUUAAUAAUAGCAUUUUGAUCAGCUGAUAAAGGCGAAUGGAUCAUAAUUCAAUCUUAUUUUUCAUUUAGCUGGUUUUGGAGGUGCCCAGACCGACGGACCUCACGGUGGCGGAAGGGGAGGAGGACAAGCCCAAGGUUAUCAUCCGUACCGACGAGUGUGAGAUCCAUCGGCGCCAUCAUCUUCAUCGCAGAGCAUCCAGAUUUAGUUUCUUACAUCAUUAUUCGGCCGGCCGUAAACUGACACUGGAAGAACUGUGGUCGGAUUUGUCUGCUUGUGUCCGGUUCCAGUGCAUUUUACCUAUAUCUGAAUGUUCCGUCCUCGGUUCCAUCGCUUGUUCUUUCAUUGAAAAUGGACCAAGAUCCAUUUUUAAAUAUAUAUUGUGUAUAUCGCCGAGUCUGCUCUCCAAACCGUUAUUGACAAGAAAUCUUUUCCACAGUUUUAAUGAAGACAUGUAAUAAUAUAAUUAUUAUAAUAAUACAUAAAAUUUUGAUUAUUUUGCACAAACAAAACUUGUAAAUCCUAGUGCAUUCCAAACUUUUUUCUUUGAUAUGGUGUCAGUAUAUAUAUAUAUUAAAUGUUGACAAAAAUCCAACGGUUGUGCUCUCGAUUGGAAACGGGCUGCCGUACCAUAGAGCCAGAGUGACACCGGGAGGCGGCCGGAAGAGGUGUGGGUGGGCCACGGCCGCGCGGCCAGACGUAGGCACUUGUCUUAUAUACAAAAGAGGAAGUGGCCAAUGGCUCGGGCCGGUGGACGGUCUGCUGAGAUUCGGGCUAUGAUCACGGUCUGCUGGUCGGAUGCUCCACUUGACGGUUGCACAGACGCGGCAGUUGAGACGUGGCCUUAAAAAGCUGCUCGAAUGAUUGACGCACCUGGAAAAUAAACCAAAAAUACUGAUUAACAAAAGUCAGGGAAAAAAAUUGCAAUAUAUAUAUACUGUAUAUAUUCCUACCCGACUGCUGUUGAGAUUACAUAAAAGAUGCGUUGCCGGGAAGAUAGUUUUAUAGAAUCGCUUUUGAUUUUCUAAAUAUAUGGAUGUGUAGUCAGUGAUGGAGUUAUAACCAUUUCGGUGGGCGAAUAAAAAGUACAGGUUGUGAUGCAUUAAACAAAAUUUGGUUUGAUGAAUGAGCUAGCAUAUAUGAUAAAACUUGAAUGAAAAUUGUUUGGUAGUUUAAAAUCUAUGAUCGAAUACAAGAAAUCAAUAAUUUUCCUAGACAGGAUGCAUUUAGAUAAAUUUAUAUUAAUGGUAUUUCUAAUUGACAAUGUAUAAGAGAGAAAUUUAUCUUACAAGUUAGUAGAGAUUUUUAAUUAAAGUAGCGGUUGAUUUCUGGUUAAGAUCUUUAAUAAUCAACAGAAAUCUAAUAAAUGAUUAUAUACUGUUUGUCUACCACAGGAAUGGCUCUCGCCAGGAAGUCUGUGCAUGUCUGUUGCCGUGGAAACAAGACUUGCUC